AACGAACGCUGGCGGCAUGCCUAACACAUGCAAGUCGAACGCUGAAGCUUGGUGCUUGCACUGGGUGGAUGAGUGGCGAACGGGUGAGUAAUAAGUGAGUAACCUGCCCUUGACUCUGGGAUAAGCCUGGGAAACUGGGUCUAAUACUGGAUACGACAUGUCACCGCAUGGUGGUGUGUGGAAAGGGUUUUACUGGUUUUGGAUGGGCUCACGGCCUAUCAGCUUGUUGGUGGGGUAAUGGCUCACCAAGGCGACGACGGGUAGCCGGCCUGAGAGGGUGACCGGCCACACUGGGACUGAGACACGGCCCAGACUCCUACGGGAGGCAGCAGUGGGGAAUAUUGCACAAUGGGCGGAAGCCUGAUGCAGCGACGCCGCGUGAGGGAUGACGGCCUUCGGGUUGUAAACCUCUUUCAGCACGGAAGAAGCGAAAGUGACGGUACGUGCAGAAGAAGCGCCGGCUAACUACGUG
This 472-nucleotide ribosomal RNA is filed under the name uncultured bacterium. Its description in RNAcentral is "partial 16S ribosomal RNA". It matches the Rfam family "Bacterial small subunit ribosomal RNA", at positions 29 to 507 of the family's 1533-position model. The record is from RNAcentral.